Non-coding RNA from Pelobates cultripes (western spadefoot toad), 236 nucleotides. The record is from the annotation of a GenBank genome assembly. NCBI's taxonomy places the organism in Eukaryota, Metazoa, Chordata, Amphibia, Anura, Pelobatidae.
UAUUGUGGCAGGGUCAGAGAGGCUUUUUAUGUUAGUAAUAGAUUGGGGUGCUCUCUAUUCCCAGCAUGAUGGGGUUAAUUGGUGGGAGUCACCCCUUGAAUGUUAUCAACCAGGUGAAUGUAAUUAACCAGCACUAGGGUUUUAAAAGGUUAGCCUCUGAAGACAUGGGGGAAUCUAACAGCUGGGAGAGAGGAGGCAGUUAAGCCUGAGACUCUGAGAAAAAGGUACUGUGUGAA